UAACACGUGGGUAACCUGCCCAUAAGACUGGGAUAACUCCGGGAAACCGGGGCUAAUACCGGAUAACAUUUUGAACYGCAUGGUUCGAAAUUGAAAGGCGGCUUCGGCUGUCACUUAUGGAUGGACCCGCGUCGCAUUAGCUAGUUGGUGAGGUAACGGCUCACCAAGGCAACGAUGCGUAGCCGACCUGAGAGGGUGAUCGGCCACACUGGGACUGAGACACGGCCCAGACUCCUACGGGAGGCAGCAGUAGGGAAUCUUCCGCAAUGGACGAAAGUCUGACGGAGCAACGCCGCGUGAGUGAUGAAG
RNAcentral lists this ribosomal RNA (309 nucleotides) under Bacillus sp. RZ5MS2. RNAcentral describes it as "bacterial SSU rRNA". It matches the Rfam family "Bacterial small subunit ribosomal RNA", at positions 111 to 413 of the family's 1533-position model. Lineage: Bacteria; Bacillati; Bacillota; Bacilli; Caryophanales; Bacillaceae. The record is from RNAcentral.